UGCUUCCAUUACUGGCUCAAGAUUCCUCCGGCCCACCGUGGCACCCGUGUCGUGGCAUGCAGUGACAAUGAGCUCAGGGUGCCAAAGUAGACGUGUGCAGAGCAACGGAAAGACUACACAGGGACACUUCACCGGAAUGUAGCAACAGGCUAAUGGCAUCUUCAACUUCACGUGACCUGCGUUUGGAACAUCAGAAUUAAGCAUCCAUAUUGACUCUGCCUUUCUUGUGAAAACAAUUAAACAGUGUGUGCUA
RNAcentral lists this long non-coding RNA (253 nucleotides) under Rattus norvegicus (Norway rat). RNAcentral's name for it is "long non-coding RNA NONRATT012114". The record is from RNAcentral. Lineage: Eukaryota; Metazoa; Chordata; Mammalia; Rodentia; Muridae.